Molecule: ribosomal RNA, 477 nt
Filed under: Streptomyces griseus
Lineage: Bacteria; Bacillati; Actinomycetota; Actinomycetes; Kitasatosporales; Streptomycetaceae
Description: bacterial SSU rRNA
Rfam family: Bacterial small subunit ribosomal RNA
Source: RNAcentral
UGUAGAGUUUGAUCAUGGCUCAGGACGAACGCUGGCGACGUACUUAACACAUGCAAGUCGAACGAUGAAGCCUUUCGGGGUGGAUUAGUGGCGAACGGGUGAGUAACACGUGGGCAAUCUGCCCUUCACUCUGGGACAAGCCCUGGAAACGGGGUCUAAUACCGGAUAACACUCUGUCCCGCAUGGGACGGGGUUAAAAGCUCCGGCGGUGAAGGAUGAGCCCGCGGCCUAUCAGCUUGUUGGUGGGGUAAUGGCCUACCAAGGCGACGACGGGUAGCCGGCCUGAGAGGGCGACCGGCCACACUGGGACUGAGACACGGCCCAGACUCCUACGGGAGGCAGCAGUGGGGAAUAUUGCACAAUGGGCGAAAGCCUGAUGCAGCGACGCCGCGUGAGGAAUGGCGGCCUUCGGGUUGUAAACCUCUUCAGCAGGGAAGAAGCGAAAGUGACGGUACCUGCAGAGAGCCUCGAACUGCC